Homo sapiens (human) is the source of this 439-nucleotide long non-coding RNA. Ensembl annotates it as maternally expressed 8, small nucleolar RNA host gene. Its record names the gene MEG8. NCBI's taxonomy places the organism in Eukaryota, Metazoa, Chordata, Mammalia, Primates, Hominidae. The record is from Ensembl.
AAAUCUAGGUUUUUUCAUCCUUUUUAAUAUCAGCCUUGUGUUCCACAGAAUGGAGGCUCCAGAGUGAAAUUAAUGACACUUUGUCGAUGAAGAUCUUGAUUGUGACCUCUGUGGAAAAUGAGCCAUGAACCAACCAAUAAGCAGGCUUAGUCACCCUUGACACAGUUUGCAGUUAUCCACCUCCUCCAAGUUCUUAAUAUGUUAGAUCCAGAUAACUGCCUUGUACAGCCACCUCCAGGAUACUGCCUCCCUAAAAAACAGCUAGAUACACUGACCCCACAGCCUAUGUGGACCACACAGAUAUAGUGGCUUGCUCUAAAUGCACCAGUGAGAACUCUCUGCAGGAAACCUGCUUGGGAAAUGCCAUAGCCUGCAAUACAGGCUUUCCCCUUCCCGCUGGCCCUGUGAGGCAUGCAGGAUCUGUAAGUAAUAAACUGCU